UAUUAGGUUGGUGCAAAAGUAAUGGCGGGUUUUGCCAUUGAAAGUAAUGGCAAAAACCCGCCAUUACUUUUGCACCAACCUAUA
This 84-nucleotide microRNA precursor is filed under the name Homo sapiens (human). Its description in RNAcentral is "mir-548 microRNA precursor family". It matches the Rfam family "mir-548 microRNA precursor family". The record is from Rfam by way of RNAcentral. Lineage: Eukaryota; Metazoa; Chordata; Mammalia; Primates; Hominidae.